Molecule: ribosomal RNA, 1547 nt
Filed under: Klebsiella pneumoniae
Lineage: Bacteria; Pseudomonadati; Pseudomonadota; Gammaproteobacteria; Enterobacterales; Enterobacteriaceae
Description: 16S ribosomal RNA
Rfam family: Bacterial small subunit ribosomal RNA
Source: RNAcentral
AAAUUGAAGAGUUUGAUCAUGGCUCAGAUUGAACGCUGGCGGCAGGCCUAACACAUGCAAGUCGAGCGGUAGCACAGAGAGCUUGCUCUCGGGUGACGAGCGGCGGACGGGUGAGUAAUGUCUGGGAAACUGCCUGAUGGAGGGGGAUAACUACUGGAAACGGUAGCUAAUACCGCAUAAUGUCGCAAGACCAAAGUGGGGACCUUCGGGCCUCAUGCCAUCAGAUGUGCCCAGAUGGGAUUAGCUUGUAGGUGGGGUAACGGCUCACCUAGGCGACGAUCCCUAGCUGGUCUGAGAGGAUGACCAGCCACACUGGAACUGAGACACGGUCCAGACUCCUACGGGAGGCAGCAGUGGGGAAUAUUGCACAAUGGGCGCAAGCCUGAUGCAGCCAUGCCGCGUGUGUGAAGAAGGCCUUCGGGUUGUAAAGCACUUUCAGCGGGGAGGAAGGCGGUGAGGUUAAUAACCUCAUCGAUUGACGUUACCCGCAGAAGAAGCACCGGCUAACUCCGUGCCAGCAGCCGCGGUAAUACGGAGGGUGCAAGCGUUAAUCGGAAUUACUGGGCGUAAAGCGCACGCAGGCGGUCUGUCAAGUCGGAUGUGAAAUCCCCGGGCUCAACCUGGGAACUGCAUUCGAAACUGGCAGGCUAGAGUCUUGUAGAGGGGGUAGAAUUCCAGGUGUAGCGGUGAAAUGCGUAGAGAUCUGGAGGAAUACCGGUGGCGAAGGCGGCCCCUGGACAAAGACUGACGCUCAGGUGCGAAAGCGUGGGGAGCAAACAGGAUUAGAUACCCUGGUAGUCCACGCCGUAAACGAUGUCGAUUUGGAGGUUGUGCCCUUGAGGCGUGGCUUCCGGAGCUAACGCGUUAAAUCGACCGCCUGGGGAGUACGGCCGCAAGGUUAAAACUCAAAUGAAUUGACGGGGGCCCGCACAAGCGGUGGAGCAUGUGGUUUAAUUCGAUGCAACGCGAAGAACCUUACCUGGUCUUGACAUCCACAGAACUUAGCAGAGAUGCUUUGGUGCCUUCGGGAACUGUGAGACAGGUGCUGCAUGGCUGUCGUCAGCUCGUGUUGUGAAAUGUUGGGUUAAGUCCCGCAACGAGCGCAACCCUUAUCCUUUGUUGCCAGCGGUCCGGCCGGGAACUCAAAGGAGACUGCCAGUGAUAAACUGGAGGAAGGUGGGGAUGACGUCAAGUCAUCAUGGCCCUUACGACCAGGGCUACACACGUGCUACAAUGGCAUAUACAAAGAGAAGCGACCUCGCGAGAGCAAGCGGACCUCAUAAAGUAUGUCGUAGUCCGGAUUGGAGUCUGCAACUCGACUCCAUGAAGUCGGAAUCGCUAGUAAUCGUAGAUCAGAAUGCUACGGUGAAUACGUUCCCGGGCCUUGUACACACCGCCCGUCACACCAUGGGAGUGGGUUGCAAAAGAAGUAGGUAGCUUAACCUUCGGGAGGGCGCUUACCACUUUGUGAUUCAUGACUGGGGUGAAGUCGUAACAAGGUAACCGUAGGGGAACCUGCGGUUGGAUCACCUCCUUACCUUAAAGAA